RNAcentral lists this ribosomal RNA (732 nucleotides) under uncultured Streptococcus sp. Its description in RNAcentral is "bacterial SSU rRNA". It matches the Rfam family "Bacterial small subunit ribosomal RNA", at positions 62 to 779 of the family's 1533-position model. Lineage: Bacteria; Bacillati; Bacillota; Bacilli; Lactobacillales; Streptococcaceae. The record is from RNAcentral.
UAGAACGCUGAAGGAGGAGCUUGCUUCUCUGGAUGAGUUGCGAACGGGUGAGUAACGCGUAGGUAACCUGCCUGGUAGCGGGGGAUAACUAUUGGAAACGAUAGCUAAUACCGCAUAAUAGCAGUUAUUGCAUGAUAACUGUUUGAAAGGUGCAAUUGCACCACUACCAGAUGGACCUGCGUUGUAUUAGCUAGUUGGUGGGGUAACGGCUCACCAAGGCGACGAUACAUAGCCGACCUGAGAGGGUGAUCGGCCACACUGGGACUGAGACACGGCCCAGACUCCUACGGGAGGCAGCAGUAGGGAAUCUUCGGCAAUGGACGGAAGUCUGACCGAGCAACGCCGCGUGAGUGAAGAAGGUUUUCGGAUCGUAAAGCUCUGUUGUAAGAGAAGAACGAGUGUGAGAGUGGAAAGUUCACACUGUGACGGUAUCUUACCAGAAAGGGACGGCUAACUACGUGCCAGCAGCCGCGGUAAUACGUAGGUCCCGAGCGUUGUCCGGAUUUAUUGGGCGUAAAGCGAGCGCAGGCGGUUAGAUAAGUCUGAAGUUAAAGGCUGUGGCUUAACCAUAGUACGCUUUGGAAACUGUUUAACUUGAGUGCAGAAGGGGAGAGUGGAAUUCCAUGUGUAGCGGUGAAAUGCGUAGAUAUAUGGAGGAACACCGGUGGCGAAAGCGGCUCUCUGGUCUGUAACUGACGCUGAGGCUCGAAAGCGUGGGGAGCAAACAGGAUU